AGAUUGAACUGAAGAGUUUGAUCCUGGCUCAGAUUGAACGCUGGCGGCAUGCUUUACACAUGCAAGUCGAACGG
Molecule: ribosomal RNA, 74 nt
Filed under: Pseudoduganella aquatica
Lineage: Bacteria; Pseudomonadati; Pseudomonadota; Betaproteobacteria; Burkholderiales; Oxalobacteraceae
Also listed under: 1 other name
Description: partial 16S ribosomal RNA
Rfam family: Bacterial small subunit ribosomal RNA
Source: RNAcentral